RNAcentral lists this ribosomal RNA (245 nucleotides) under uncultured bacterium. RNAcentral describes it as "partial 16S ribosomal RNA". It matches the Rfam family "Bacterial small subunit ribosomal RNA", at positions 1246 to 1500 of the family's 1533-position model. The record is from RNAcentral.
GCAGCGAAGUCGCGAGGCGGAGCAAAUCUCAAAAACCGGUCCCAGUUCGGACUGCAGGCUGCAACCCGCCUGCACGAAGCCGGAGUUGCUAGUAAUCGCGAAUCAGAAUGUCGCGGUGAAUGCGUUCCCGGGCCUUGUACACACCGCCCGUCAAGCCAUGGGAGCCGGGGGCGCCUGAAGUCCGGGACCGCGAGGACCGGCCUAGGGCGAAACUGGUAACUGGGGCUAAGUCGUAACAAGGUAUC